This is a long non-coding RNA of Oncorhynchus tshawytscha (Chinook salmon), 431 nucleotides long. RefSeq lists it as uncharacterized. The record is from RefSeq and is a predicted model, not a curated record. The transcript is spliced from 3 exons. Lineage: Eukaryota; Metazoa; Chordata; Actinopteri; Salmoniformes; Salmonidae.
CAACAACAGAACGGUGUGGAGGUAACCCCAACAACAGAACGGUGUGGAGGUAACCCCAACAACAGAACGGUGUGGAGGUAACCCCAACAACAGAACGGUGUGGAGGUAACCCCAACAACAGAACGCUGUGGAGGUAACCCCAACAACAGAACGGUGUGGAGGUAACCCCAACAACAGAACGGUGUGGAGGUAACCCCAACAACAGAACGGUGUGGAGGUAACCCCAACAACAGAACGGUGUGGAGGUAACCCCAACAACAGAACGGUGUGGAGGUAACCCCAACAACAGAACGGUGUGGAGGUAACCCCAACAACAGAACGGUGUGGAGGUAACCCUAACAACAGAACGGUGAGUUAACAGAACGGUGUGGAGGUAACCCCAACAACAGAACGGUGUGGAGGUAACCCCAACAACAGAACGGUGUGGAGGU